CCUACGGGGGGCAGCAGUGGGGAAUAUUGCACAAUGGGCGAAAGCCUGAUGCAGCAACGCCGCGUGAAGGAAGACGGUUUUCGGAUUGUAAACUUCUGUUCUUAGUGAAGAAUAAUGACGGUACCUGACCAAGAAGCCCCGGCUAACUACGUGCCAGCAGCCGCGGUAAUACGUAGGGGGCAAGCGUUAUCCGGAAUUACUGGGUGUAAAGGGAGCGUAGACGGUUAAGUAAGUCUGGAGUGAAAGGCCGGGGCCCAACCCCGGGACUGCUCUGGAAACUAUUCAACUUGAGUGCAGGAGAGGUA
RNAcentral lists this ribosomal RNA (305 nucleotides) under uncultured bacterium. Its description in RNAcentral is "bacterial SSU rRNA". It matches the Rfam family "Bacterial small subunit ribosomal RNA", at positions 338 to 659 of the family's 1533-position model. The record is from RNAcentral.